RNAcentral lists this ribosomal RNA (689 nucleotides) under Staphylococcus sp. AIR-NUS-18. Its description in RNAcentral is "bacterial SSU rRNA". It matches the Rfam family "Bacterial small subunit ribosomal RNA", at positions 50 to 721 of the family's 1533-position model. Lineage: Bacteria; Bacillati; Bacillota; Bacilli; Caryophanales; Staphylococcaceae. The record is from RNAcentral.
AAUACAUGCAAGUCGAGCGAACAGACGAGGAGCUUGCUCCUCUGACGUUAGCGGCGGACGGGUGAGUAACACGUGGAUAACCUACCUAUAAGACUGGGAUAACUUCGGGAAACCGGAGCUAAUACCGGAUAAUAUAUUGAACCGCAUGGUUCAAUAGUGAAAGACGGUUUUGCUGUCACUUAUAGAUGGAUCCGCGCCGCAUUAGCUAGUUGGUAAGGUAACGGCUUACCAAGGCAACGAUGCGUAGCCGACCUGAGAGGGUGAUCGGCCACACUGGAACUGAGACACGGUCCAGACUCCUACGGGAGGCAGCAGUAGGGAAUCUUCCGCAAUGGGCGAAAGCCUGACGGAGCAACGCCGCGUGAGUGAUGAAGGUCUUCGGAUCGUAAAACUCUGUUAUUAGGGAAGAACAAAUGUGUAAGUAACUAUGCACGUCUUGACGGUACCUAAUCAGAAAGCCACGGCUAACUACGUGCCAGCAGCCGCGGUAAUACGUAGGUGGCAAGCGUUAUCCGGAAUUAUUGGGCGUAAAGCGCGCGUAGGCGGUUUUUUAAGUCUGAUGUGAAAGCCCACGGCUCAACCGUGGAGGGUCAUUGGAAACUGGAAAACUUGAGUGCAGAAGAGGAAAGUGGAAUUCCAUGUGUAGCGGUGAAAUGCGCAGAGAUAUGGAGGAACACCAGUGGCGAAGG